This 819-nucleotide ribosomal RNA is filed under the name Triticum aestivum (bread wheat). RNAcentral's name for it is "partial small subunit ribosomal RNA". The record is from RNAcentral. Lineage: Eukaryota; Viridiplantae; Streptophyta; Magnoliopsida; Poales; Poaceae.
AUGGCAAAACAAUUUUGGAGCAGCUCCAUUGACAAAAAUGCUCUACAUUGGGUGUCCUGGAAGAACCUGGCUACACCAAAGUGCCAAGGUGGUAUGGGAUUUCGUGAUCCCCAUCAGUUUAACAUUGCGCUACUUGGGAAGCAUGGGUGGCGGUUUAUGACGAACCCUAAUUCUCUGUGCGCAAGGGUAAUGAAAGGUCACUAUUUUCCUGACACAGAUUUCUUGCAUGCUACUGUUCCCAAAUCAGCGUCUGCUACUUGGCGAGCUAUCAUUGCUGGCAGGGAAGCUUUACAAGCGGGACUUGUUAUGAGAGUGGGAGACGGGAGAUCCAUUAAUGUAUGGACGGACAAGUGGAUUCCUGGAACUAUCUCCAUGAAACCUUUGUUUAGACCUCCCAACACUAAUGUUCAGACAGUUUUGGAUCUCAUUGACACCGAAAACUGGUCAUGGAGGCAAGAUCUCAUUAGGACAACUUUUAUCGCCCCAGAUGCUGAUGCUAUUCUCAAUAUACCAAUCAGGAGGGGCGGAGGCCAGGAUUUUUAUGCUUGGGCCUUUGAACGAUCAGGCAACUACACUGUUAAAUCGGCGCACCAUGCUCUAGUGAAUCAAAACGAGCGUCUAGCUCUAGAAGAAGGGAUGGCUACCGGUGCUUCAACGGAUGAUAAACAGAUGUGGACAUCCCUGUGGAAACUCAAAGUGAUCCCAAAGGUACGGGUGUUUUGGUGGAGGGUAUUGCGGGGGAUUCUACCUGAUGAAUGUACCCUCAAGCACCGCCACAUCUCAGUUCAAGACACUUGUAAAGUGUGCAUGGCAAGAUAG